CUACGGGGUGCACCAGUGGGGAAUAUUGCACAAUGGAGGAAACUCUGAUGCAGCAACGCCGCGUGGAGGAUGACACUUUUCGGAGCGUAAACUCCUUUUAUAUAGGAAGAAGAUGACGGUACUAUAUGAAUAAGCGCCGGCUAACUCCGUGCCAGCAGCCGCGGUAAUAAGGAGGGCGCAAGCGUUACUCGGAAUCACUGGGCGUAAAGAGCGUGUAGGCGGAUUAAAAAGUCAGAAGUGAAAUCCUAUAGCUUAACCAUAGAACUGCUUCUGAAACUCUUAAUCUAGAAUAUGGGAGAGGUAGAUGGAAUUUCUGGUGUAGGGGUAAAAUCCGUAGAGAUCAGAAGGAAUACCGAUUGCGAAGGCGAUCUACUAGAACAUUAUUGACGCUGAGACGCGAAAGCGUGGGGAGCAAACAGGAUUAGAUACCCGUGUAGUC
RNAcentral lists this ribosomal RNA (439 nucleotides) under uncultured bacterium. Its description in RNAcentral is "partial 16S ribosomal RNA". It matches the Rfam family "Bacterial small subunit ribosomal RNA", at positions 339 to 795 of the family's 1533-position model. The record is from RNAcentral.